CAAGGCAGACGGCUCAGUAACGCGUAGUCAAUCUACCCUAUGGACGGGAAUAACCUCGGGAAACUGAGAAUAAUGCCCGAUAGAACAUUAUACCUGGAACGGUUUAUGUUUCAAAUGAUUUAUCGCCGUAGGAUGGGACUGCGGCCUAUCAGUUUGUUGGUGAGGUAAUGGCCCACCAAGACUAUUACAGGUACGGGCUCUGAGAGGAGUAGCCCGGAGAUGGGUACUGAGACACGGACCCAGGCCCUAUGGGGCGCAGCAGGCGAGAAAACUUUGCAAUGUGCGAAAGCACGACAAGGUUAAUCCGAGUGGUUUCUGCUAAAGAAACCUUUUGCUAGUCCUAGAAACACUAGCGAAUAAGGGGUGGGCAAGUUCUGGUGUCAGCCGCCGCGGUAAAACCAGCACCUCAAGUGGUCAGGAUGAUUAUUGGGCCUAAAGCAUCCGUAGCCCGUUUUGUAAGUUUUCGGUUAAAUCCAUACGCUCAACGUAUGGGCUGCCGGGAAUACUGCCUAACUAGGAAGUGGGAGAGGUAGACGGUACUCGGGAGGAAGGGGUAAAAUCCUUUGAUCUCUUGAUGACCACCUGUGGCGAAGGCGGUCUACCAGAACACGUUCGACGGUGAGGGAUGAAAGCUGGGGGAGCAAACCGGAUUAGAUACCCGGGUAGUCCCAGCUGUAAACUAUGCAAACUCAGUGAUGCAUUGGCUUGUGGCCAAUGCAGUGCUGCAGGGAAGCCGUUAAGUUUGCCGCCUGGGAAGUACGUACGCAAGUAUGAAACUUAAAGGAAUUGGCGGGGGAGCACCACAAGGGGUGAAGCCUGCGGUUC
RNAcentral lists this ribosomal RNA (825 nucleotides) under uncultured archaeon. Its description in RNAcentral is "bacterial SSU rRNA". It matches the Rfam family "Archaeal small subunit ribosomal RNA", at positions 77 to 903 of the family's 1478-position model. The record is from RNAcentral.